GACGCUUUUAAAAGGCAGGCAGCCAAAUUUCCUUCGCGUGGAGCAGGUAAACGAAGGCAUCCCGAGGGCAGCAGGAGAAGGAAAGAGAAAAGAUUGAAUCGUGGGAGGAAUGCUGACUGAGAGUAUUCAAAACAGCACCAUUGCCACCUGUCAUUUCCUGGUACUCAGCUGGAGAACAAAUGAAGAGAUCCAAAUUUUAAAACUGAAAGAAAUGCAUUUGCUCCAUUGAAGAGAAUUAUUACUGCUGUGGUUAUCAACUCUGCAAACUGCUGACGCACUUUUGUACUGGAUAGCCUUCUGUUUUAAAUCAACUAACACCAGCAUCAUCAGUUUUUAAGUAUGGGCAAUGAGGUUUCUUUGCCUGAGACUAAUGAAGGUUAAAUAAAAGUGUCUUGGGAGAACACUAAACCAUAACAUCAUUUGCCUGUUUUUAAUUUAUUGUAUGGUGGUUAUUAUAUUAUUUAUAUAUUAUUUGUGGCAUAAGAAUUAAGCAUGAACCAGCUGUUAUGUUUGCCACAGUUUGAUUUGAUGUAAAUUUAGAUGCACAUUAGACAUCUGCAAUACUAAAUUCCAGAUUCAGAGAAGAAAUGGAGAGAAGCAAAUAUGCUGUUUGGGGAAAUAUCUCUACAGUAAGGAUUAGAAAUUAGACUGGCAUAUUUUCAUCAUUUGAUAUGAUCUGAUAAUCAUUUCUGUCCAAUGAGACGUGGCCUAAUGUGUAACUGAACAAUAAGGAGUAAAAACACAAAUGAAGAUUAAGUGUUUUUCUGCUUAGACUAGUCUAUCAGGGCAACCUGGUGUACCUAAAUAUGGGAUGGAGCAUAAUGCUUUUGCACAAUCCCAAUCCAGGAGCCUUCGCAGGCGCUUUCGUAACAAACCUUUAUUUCUUUGUCAGUAAAUAUAAAUUCAGCACAAAUGUAGAUUGUUAAAAAAGAUAAAAGAAAUUAGUAUACAAAUAAAUGUGUUAUAAGUUGCUGAAAGACUAUUUGCAUUAAAAAUAUGCUUAUGCAUUGGCAGUUUUAGAAAAAAAAUUUGGAGAAAUUUUCCUUCGUUUCUGUAAAUUAGAUAUAGUAUAUGCUCUUUGAAUGUUUGAAUCAUCGUCCAAUGAAAGUGACUGUCUUAAAUGAAACCUGAUUGUGAUGUGAAUCUAUCCAGCAAAAUUGAACUGAAAAGUCUGCUUGGGGGGAAAAAAAGCUCCUCAGAAUCCUGAAUUGUUAAUGACAGC
Long non-coding RNA from Ahaetulla prasina, 1222 nucleotides. RefSeq lists it as uncharacterized. NCBI's taxonomy places the organism in Eukaryota, Metazoa, Chordata, Lepidosauria, Squamata, Colubridae. The transcript is spliced from 2 exons. The record is from RefSeq and is a predicted model, not a curated record.